This is a long non-coding RNA of Alligator sinensis (Chinese alligator), 347 nucleotides long. RefSeq lists it as uncharacterized. The record is from RefSeq and is a predicted model, not a curated record. Lineage: Eukaryota; Metazoa; Chordata; Crocodylia; Alligatoridae. The transcript is spliced from 4 exons.
AAGCCAAGGGGGAAGGAGCCCUGCUGGAAUGUGCAAAAGAGAAGGGGCCAGACUGCAGGUUCGUGACUUUUGUUACUGCCUACCUUGACAGAGCAGGACAGCAUGAACUACCGGGCUUUCAGCCACAGGUCUUCCCCUGAGAUCUUCCUGCCGUGCCUUGAUGUUGAAAAUGAAGAGAGGAGGCUGCCCUUAGAAGAUGGUCUGUAAGAAGCACACAAAGACCAGGAGAAAGUUCCAGAUAAUGCCUGCACCAGCUCCAUAUGUGGACAUGAAAGAAGCCUAGUAAGAGGGCAAGAGGUUGGGUACUGCCUGAAAGAAGCAAUUUUGUGGGACUCUGAGCAAAGAAA